AGGACGAACGCUGGCGGCGUGCUUAACACAUGCAAGUCGAACGAUGAAGCCGGAGCUUGCUCUGGUGGAUUAGUGGCGAACGGGUGAGUAACACGUGAGUAACCUGCCCUUGACUCUGGGAUAAGCACUGGAAACGGUGUCUAAUACCGGAUACGAGCUUUAGCCGCAUGGCUAGGAGCUAGAAAGAAUUUCGGUCAAGGAUGGACUCGCGGCCUAUCAGGUAGUUGGUGAGGUAACGGCCCACCAAGCCUACGACGGGUAGCCGGCCUGAGAGGGUGACCGGCCACACUGGGACUGAGACACGGCCCAGACUCCUACGGGAGGCAGCAGUGGGAAUAUUGCACAAUGGCGCAAGCCUGAUGCAGCAACGCCGCGUGAGGGACGACGGCCUUCGGUGUAAACCUCUUUAGAGGAAGAAGCGAAAGUGACGUACCGUGCAAGAAAAGCACCGGCAACUACGAGCCAGCAGCGC
This 472-nucleotide ribosomal RNA is filed under the name uncultured soil bacterium. RNAcentral's name for it is "bacterial SSU rRNA". It matches the Rfam family "Bacterial small subunit ribosomal RNA", at positions 26 to 518 of the family's 1533-position model. The record is from RNAcentral.